This 1080-nucleotide ribosomal RNA is filed under the name Enterococcus faecium. RNAcentral's name for it is "bacterial SSU rRNA". It matches the Rfam family "Bacterial small subunit ribosomal RNA", at positions 56 to 1106 of the family's 1533-position model. Lineage: Bacteria; Bacillati; Bacillota; Bacilli; Lactobacillales; Enterococcaceae. The record is from RNAcentral.
UGCAGUCGUACGCUUCUUUUUCCACCGGAGCUUGCUCCACCGGAAAAAGAGGAGUGGCGAACGGGUGAGUAACACGUGGGUAACCUGCCCAUCAGAAGGGGAUAACACUUGGAAACAGGUGCUAAUACCGUAUAACAAUCGAAACCGCAUGGUUUUGAUUUGAAAGGCGCUUUCGGGUGUCGCUGAUGGAUGGACCCGCGGUGCAUUAGCUAGUUGGUGAGGUAACGGCUCACCAAGGCCACGAUGCAUAGCCGACCUGAGAGGGUGAUCGGCCACAUUGGGACUGAGACACGGCCCAAACUCCUACGGGAGGCAGCAGUAGGGAAUCUUCGGCAAUGGACGAAAGUCUGACCGAGCAACGCCGCGUGAGUGAAGAAGGUUUUCGGAUCGUAAAACUCUGUUGUUAGAGAAGAACAAGGAUGAGAGUAACUGUUCAUCCCUUGACGGUAUCUAACCAGAAAGCCACGGCUAACUACGUGCCAGCAGCCGCGGUAAUACGUAGGUGGCAAGCGUUGUCCGGAUUUAUUGGGCGUAAAGCGAGCGCAGGCGGUUUCUUAAGUCUGAUGUGAAAGCCCCCGGCUCAACCGGGGAGGGUCAUUGGAAACUGGGAGACUUGAGUGCAGAAGAGGAGAGUGGAAUUCCAUGUGUAGCGGUGAAAUGCGUAGAUAUAUGGAGGAACACCAGUGGCGAAGGCGGCUCUCUGGUCUGUAACUGACGCUGAGGCUCGAAAGCGUGGGGAGCAAACAGGAUUAGAUACCCUGGUAGUCCACGCCGUAAACGAUGAGUGCUAAGUGUUGGAGGGUUUCCGCCCUUCAGUGCUGCAGCUAACGCAUUAAGCACUCCGCCUGGGGAGUACGACCGCAAGGUUGAAACUCAAAGGAAUUGACGGGGGCCCGCACAAGCGGUGGAGCAUGUGGUUUAAUUCGAAGCAACGCGAAGAAACCUUACCAGGUCUUGACAUCCUUUGACCACUCUAGAGAUAGAGCUUCCCCUUCGGGGGCAAAGUGACAGGUGGUGCAUGGUUGUCGUCAGCUCGUGUCGUGAGAUGUUGGGUUAAGUCCCGCAACGAGCGCAACCCUU